This 253-nucleotide ribosomal RNA is filed under the name uncultured bacterium. RNAcentral's name for it is "partial 16S ribosomal RNA". It matches the Rfam family "Bacterial small subunit ribosomal RNA", at positions 524 to 776 of the family's 1533-position model. The record is from RNAcentral.
UACGUAGGGGGCUAGCGUUGUCCGGAAUCAUUGGGCGUAAAGCGCGUGUAGGCGGUCCGGUAAGUCCGCUGUGAAAGUCGGGGGCUCAACCCUCGGAUGCCGGUGGAUACUGUCGGGCUUGAGUACGGAAGAGGCGAGUGGAAUUCCUGGUGUAGCGGUGAAAUGCGCAGAUAUCAGGAGGAACACCAGUGGCGAAGGCGCCACUCUGGGCCGUAACUGACGCUGAGGAGCGAAAGCGUGGGUAGCAAACAGG